This is a microRNA precursor of Gossypium arboreum, 139 nucleotides long. It matches the Rfam family "MIR7502 microRNA precursor family". NCBI's taxonomy places the organism in Eukaryota, Viridiplantae, Streptophyta, Magnoliopsida, Malvales, Malvaceae. The record is from Rfam.
UAUUAAAAAUUUCAUCUAUUUGUGCUCUUGAAAAUUGGCAUACCUUGACGAAAUAACAAAACAAUGACAUGCCAUAUGUACUUCAUACUAACGUACAAUGAAAAAUUUUUAAUAACAGAAAUGAAUGAAAUUUUUAACA